RNAcentral lists this ribosomal RNA (275 nucleotides) under uncultured bacterium. RNAcentral describes it as "partial 16S ribosomal RNA". It matches the Rfam family "Bacterial small subunit ribosomal RNA", at positions 523 to 796 of the family's 1533-position model. The record is from RNAcentral.
AUACGUAGGGGGCAAGCGUUGUCCGGAAUUACUGGGCGUAAAGAGCUCGUAGGCGGCUCAGCAAGUCGGUCGUGAAAGCCCGAGGCUCAACCUCGGAACUGCGGUCGAUACUGCUGUGGCUAGAGUCCGGUAGAGGAGAGUGGAAUUCCCGGUGUAGCGGUGGAAUGCGCAGAUAUCGGGAGGAACACCAGUGGCGAAGGCGGCUCUCUGGGCCGGUACUGACGCUGAGGAGCGAAAGCGUGGGGAGCAAACAGGAUUAGAUACCCCAGUAGUCC